RNAcentral lists this non-coding RNA (526 nucleotides) under Cryptosporidium parvum. Lineage: Eukaryota; Apicomplexa; Conoidasida; Eucoccidiorida; Cryptosporidiidae. The record is from RNAcentral.
AUUCUUUGACAUUAAAACUUUGAGCUUUCUCUCACGAGCCUCUUGAUUCUUCUCAUUAAAUCCAAUUUCCUCCAACAUUAGCAAGGCCUUCUGCUGAGCAACAGUAACCCUAUUCAUAUUUUUCAGUACUUCAUCCUCAUCUAGCUUUAAAAGCUCCAUUUCUUUUUUCAUUUUGCUCUCAAAUUCAUAUACAUAGGGCACAUCUUGUUCUGUUACAAAAGUAAGAGAAAUACCUGUUUUAUUCGCACGGCCAACCCUACCAAUUCUAUGGAUAUAAUCUUCAAAAGAUCUUGGAAAAUCAUAAUUAAUGACAAACUCUACAUCAGGUAUAUCCAAACCUCUUGCAGCAACACCGGUGGCAACUAAUAACUUGCUCGUUUUACUCCUAAACUUUCCAAGAGAAGCAAGCCUUCUUCUUUGAUUCAUCAAACUAUGUAAUCCUGUAACAGAGUAUCCCAUUAUUUCUAGGCAGCUUGUUAGCAUUUGACAUUGUUGUUUUGUAGCAGUGAAAAUUAUUCCUUGUUUU